CCUACGGGAGGCAGCAGUGGGGGAUCUUGCACAAUGGGGGAAAGCCUGAUGCAGCGACGCCGCGUGGGUGAAGAAGCGCCUCGGCGCGUAAAGCCCUGUCAGCAGGGAAGAAAAUGAUGGUACCUAAAGAAGAAGCCUCGGCUAACUACGUGUCAGCAGCCGCGGUAAGACUUAGGGGGCGAGCGUUAUCCGGAUUUACGGGGUGUAAAGGGGGCGCAGACGGCGAUGCAAGCCAGGAGUGAAAGCCCGGGGCCCAACCCCGGGACUGAUCUGGGAACUGCGUGGCUAGAGUGCAGGAGGGGCAGGCGGAAUUCCUGGUGUAGCGGUGAAAUGCGUAGAUAUUAGGAGGAACACCGGUGGCGAAGGCGGCCUGCUGGACUGCAACUGACGUUGAGGCCCGAAAGCGUGGGGAGCAAACAGGAUUAGAUACCCCUGUAGUC
Molecule: ribosomal RNA, 440 nt
Filed under: uncultured bacterium
Lineage: Bacteria
Description: partial 16S ribosomal RNA
Rfam family: Bacterial small subunit ribosomal RNA
Source: RNAcentral